UACGUAGGUCCCGAGCGUUGCCCGGAUUUAUUGGGCGUAAAGCGAGCGCAGGUGGUUUAUUAAGUCUGGUGUAAAAGACAGUGGCUCAACCAUUGUAUGCAUUGGAAACUGGUAGACUUGAGUGCAGGAGAGGAGAGUGGAAUUCCAUGUGUAGCGGUGAAAUGCGUAGAUAUAUGGAGGAACACCGGUGGCGAAAGCGGCUCUCUGGCCUGUAACUGACACUGAGGCUCGAAAGCGUGGGGAGCAAACAGG
This 252-nucleotide ribosomal RNA is filed under the name uncultured bacterium. RNAcentral describes it as "partial 16S ribosomal RNA". It matches the Rfam family "Bacterial small subunit ribosomal RNA", at positions 524 to 776 of the family's 1533-position model. The record is from RNAcentral.